UAGGGAAUCUUCCACAAUGGGCGAAAGCCUGAUGGGGCAACGCCGCGUGUGUGAUGAAGGGUUUCGGCUCGUAAAACACUGUUGUAAGAGAAGAAUGACAUUGAGAGUAACUGUUCAAUGUGUGACGGUAUCUUACCAGAAAGGAACGGCUAAAUACGUGCCAC
RNAcentral lists this ribosomal RNA (164 nucleotides) under uncultured bacterium. RNAcentral describes it as "partial 16S rRNA". It matches the Rfam family "Bacterial small subunit ribosomal RNA", at positions 355 to 511 of the family's 1533-position model. The record is from RNAcentral.